RNAcentral lists this transfer-messenger RNA (368 nucleotides) under Tsukamurella sp. PLM1. It matches the Rfam family "transfer-messenger RNA". Rfam says of the family: Bacterial tmRNA, also known as 10Sa RNA or SsrA, is named for its dual tRNA and mRNA-like properties. Its role is to liberate the mRNA from a stalled ribosome. Lineage: Bacteria; Bacillati; Actinomycetota; Actinomycetes; Mycobacteriales; Tsukamurellaceae. The record is from RNAcentral.
GGGGCCGAUCGGUUUCGACUUCGUUUGUUGACGCGGGGGAAGCGUGCCGGUGCAGGCUGGAGACCACCGUAAGCGUCGCGGCAACCAAUUAAGCGCCGAUUCCAAUCAGCGCGACUUCGCUCUCGCUGCCUAAGCAGCCAGGCGAGUCUGUCAGCCCGGGUUCGCCCUCGGCCCGGUUCCUGGCAUCAGCUAGAGGGAUCACCUCACGGUGCGGUCGCGGCAUCGUGAGGGACAUCACACAGCGACUGGGAUCGUCAUCCCCGCUCGUCCGUGAGAUGGGGAGAUCCGAGUAGAGACACAGCGGACUGCGCACGGAGAAGCCCCGUAGAAAUGACGGAGGACCCGGGUUCAAUUCCCGGCGGCUCCAC